This 252-nucleotide ribosomal RNA is filed under the name uncultured bacterium. RNAcentral's name for it is "partial 16S ribosomal RNA". It matches the Rfam family "Bacterial small subunit ribosomal RNA", at positions 524 to 775 of the family's 1533-position model. The record is from RNAcentral.
UACGGAGGGGGCUAGCGUUGUUCGGAAUUACUGGGCGUAAAGCGCACGUAGGCGGCUUUGUAAGUCAGAGGUGAAAGCCUGGAGCUCAACUCCAGAACUGCCUUUGAGACUGCAUCGCUUGAAUCCAGGAGAGGUGAGUGGAAUUCCGAGUGUAGAGGUGAAAUUCGUAGAUAUUCGGAAGAACACCAGUGGCGAAGGCGGCUCACUGGACUGGUAUUGACGCUGAGGUGCGAAAGCGUGGGGAGCAAACAG